ACGUAGGAGGCGAGCGUUGUCCGGAAUUAUUGGGCGUAAAGGGUUCGUAGGAGGUCUACUAAGUUGGAUGUGAAAUCCCCGGGCUCAACUUGGGGACUGCAUUUAAUACUGGCGGACUAGAGUGCAGUAGAGGAAGGCGGAAUUCCUGGUGUAGCGGUUAGAUGCGUAGAUAUGACGAGGAACAACGAUAGCGAAGGCAGCUUUCUGGGUUACAACUCACUCUGAACCACGAAAGCGUGGGUAGCCCACAG
RNAcentral lists this ribosomal RNA (251 nucleotides) under uncultured prokaryote. RNAcentral describes it as "partial 16S rRNA". It matches the Rfam family "Bacterial small subunit ribosomal RNA", at positions 525 to 775 of the family's 1533-position model. The record is from RNAcentral.